GGCGAGCUUGGCAAUGUCAUCGACGAGGACGAGGUCUGAGUCAAGGUAGACGACUCGGCGGACGCCUAAAGGGAGGAUAUUGGCCAAGUAGCUGCGAGCGUAAUUGAGAGGGCAAUCUAGAGCAGAGCGGAUAGAGGUGGAGAUGAGUCUGGAAACGAACGAGUCAUCGAACGUAUAAACACGGAAUUUGAGGUAAGGGAAGGAGGAGGAGAUGGUGGCUCGUAGAAGAGAAGCGUUAGCGGAGGCGGAAGCGACGAAAUGAAAAGCAAUAUUUUGGGGACAAGAAGAGUGUUGAAGAACAGAAAGAAUUGCUGCCAUGGAGCCACGUAUGUAUGCCGUAUCUAGAGUCAUUGCUACGUGGACUGCUUGAUCGGAGCAAAAGAUGAUACUAUCGUCAUCACCACAGUCUGAUUCCGAAUCAGGGUCAUCUUGAUCAAAUGAAGGGCAAUCUGGGGAGUUAUAGAACUGUG
Molecule: unclassified non-coding RNA, 470 nt
Filed under: Hevea brasiliensis (rubber tree)
Lineage: Eukaryota; Viridiplantae; Streptophyta; Magnoliopsida; Malpighiales; Euphorbiaceae
Source: RNAcentral